Molecule: ribosomal RNA, 497 nt
Filed under: uncultured bacterium
Lineage: Bacteria
Description: partial 16S ribosomal RNA
Rfam family: Bacterial small subunit ribosomal RNA
Source: RNAcentral
GAUGAACGCUGGCGGCGUGCCUAAUACAUGCAAGUCGAGCGAACAGAUAAGGAGCUUGCUCCUUUGAAGUUAGCGGCGGACGGGUGAGUAACACGUGGGUAACCUACCUAUAAGACUGGGAUAACUUCGGGAAACCGGAGCUAAUACCGGAUAACAUUUAGAACCGCAUGGUUCUAAAGUGAAAGAUGGUUUUGCUAUCACUUAUAGAUGGACCCGCGCCGUAUUGGCUAGUUGGUAAGGUAACGGCUUACCAAGGCGACGAUACGUAGCCGACCUGAGAGGGUGAACGGGCACACCGGAACUGAGACACGGUACAGACUCCUACGGGAGGCAGCGGUAGGGAAUCUUCCGCAAUGGGGGGAAGCCUGACGGAGCAACGCCGCGUGGGUGAUGAAGGGUUUCGGCUCGUAAAACUCUGUUAUUAGGGAAGAACAAAUGUGUAAGUAACUGUGCACAUCUUGACGGUACCUAAUCAGAAAGCCACGGCUAACUACGUG